CCACUGUACACCCACUACAUCUCAAUCACAUACACACUUUAUUCACACACUUUUCCCUUGUAGACACACACUGCAUCCGCUAAUCAUACUGGAUUCCCUAUAAGCACACACACACAUUACAUUCCCUAUAUACACUGCAUGCCCUACACAAAGCAAUCCUUACACACACCACUGUAUUCACUAUACCCACGCUCACUACACAC
This is a non-coding RNA of Pelobates cultripes (western spadefoot toad), 203 nucleotides long. The record is from the annotation of a GenBank genome assembly. NCBI's taxonomy places the organism in Eukaryota, Metazoa, Chordata, Amphibia, Anura, Pelobatidae.